This 213-nucleotide non-coding RNA is filed under the name Pediococcus cellicola. RNAcentral describes it as "T-box sequence". It matches the Rfam family "T-box leader". From Rfam's summary of the family: Uncharged tRNA acts as the effector for transcription antitermination of genes in the T-box leader family. T-boxes are found upstream of many aminoacyl-tRNA synthetase genes and some amino acid biosynthetic genes usually in Gram-positive bacteria. Lineage: Bacteria; Bacillati; Bacillota; Bacilli; Lactobacillales; Lactobacillaceae. The record is from RNAcentral.
GGAAAAACAAUGAUGAAGAUUAGUAACUGAAGGUACUUUGCAAGGGAGUAAUUGCCGUAGACUGGAAGCAAUUAUCAAAGAUUACUGCAGCGAAUUCACUUCGGAGUUAUUUAUUUGUAAAAAUAAAUCGGUUAAUCGCCGUUAUUGAUGCCAAGUGUACUGACCGUUAAGGUUUGGUAAACCAGGGUGGUAACGCGUUAACUCGUCCCUUUU